This 253-nucleotide ribosomal RNA is filed under the name uncultured bacterium. Its description in RNAcentral is "partial 16S ribosomal RNA". It matches the Rfam family "Bacterial small subunit ribosomal RNA", at positions 524 to 776 of the family's 1533-position model. The record is from RNAcentral.
UACAGAGGGUGCAAACGUUGCUCGGAAUCAUUGGGCGUAAAGCGCACGUAGGCGGUCAUGUAAGUCAGGAGGGAAAGCCCUCGGCUUAACCGGGGAAGUGCUUUUGAAACUGCAUGACUUGAAUACUGGAGAGGAUCGCGGAAUUCCCGGUGUAGAGGUGAAAUUCGUAGAUAUCGGGAGGAACACCAGUGGCGAAGGCGGCGAUCUGGACAGAUAUUGACGCUGAGGUGCGAAAGCGUGGGGAGCAAACAGG